UACGUAGGGGGCGAGCGUUGUCCGAAGUUACUGGGCGUAAAGCGUGCGCAGGCGGCUUUGUAAGACAGAUGUGAAAUCCCCGGGCUUAACCUGGGAACUGCAUUUGUGACUGCAAGACUAGAGUGCGGCAGAGGGGGGUAGAAUUCCACGUGUAGCAGUGAAAUGCGUAGAUAUGUGGAGGAAUACCGAUGGCGAAGGCAGCCCCCUGGGUCGACACUGACGCUCAUGCACGAAAGCGUGGGGAGCAAACAGG
Molecule: ribosomal RNA, 253 nt
Filed under: uncultured bacterium
Lineage: Bacteria
Description: partial 16S ribosomal RNA
Rfam family: Bacterial small subunit ribosomal RNA
Source: RNAcentral